This 438-nucleotide ribosomal RNA is filed under the name uncultured bacterium. RNAcentral's name for it is "bacterial SSU rRNA". It matches the Rfam family "Bacterial small subunit ribosomal RNA", at positions 954 to 1392 of the family's 1533-position model. The record is from RNAcentral.
GCUAAACGCGAAGAACCUUACCUAGGCUUGACAUGCAUCUCUAAGCACGUGAAAGCGUGUGACCCUUCGGGGAAUUUGCACAGGUGCUGCAUGGCCGUCGUCAGCUCGUGUCGUGAGAUGUUGGGUUAAGUCCCGCAACGAGCGCAACCCUUGUGACUAGUUGCCAGCACGUCAUGGUGGGAACUCUAGUCAGACUGCCCAGAUCAACUGGGAGGAAGGUGGGGACGACGUCAGGUCAGUAUGGCCCUUACGCCUAGGGCUGCACACGUACUACAAUGCCCAGCACAAUGAGAACCGAGACCGCGAGGUGGAGGAAAUCUAAAAAACUGGGCCCAGUUCGGAUUGGAGGCUGCAACUCGCCUCCAUGAAGUUGGAAUCGCUAGUAAUAGCGCAUCAUCUACGGCGCCGUGAAUACGUUCCCGGGUCUUGUACACACCG